AUGCUGGUGCAAGAAGGAGCCCGUGGUGACGGCUCCGGUGACCGAACAGAGUCCGGCCAGCCCUCCGGAUCGAGCACAACUGCGGUAAAGAGACGAGGCCCGAAGAGAAAGUUGCGCUCGGAUGAAAGGUUUGAGAUCACAGCAAUCGCGCGCGACGGCCAACCGAUUGAACCCCUCCGGACAAAGGAUGCUUUUGCUGCUCAGUGCGGGGUUCUAGUUAGGGACAAGAUCCCGAUCAGCAUCAACCAAUGGUAUAAGCCUAAGAAGGAAGACCCUGAGGUGUCUUAUGUCAAUGAUAUGCAGAAAGAUGAUCUUUGGACUGAGCUGAAGGCAAAUUUCACCCUACCGCCAGAGGAGGAUCCGGAGAAGCCAGUUAUAGAGCAAUUAAUCAAGUCUCAUGCUCUUAAGAAGAUGGCAGACCUAUUCAGGAGGUGGAAGAAUGAGCUGAAAACGUUUGUCGACAAAGAAGAGACACCUGAAUUCAUCGGCCGGUAUGAGAAGAUCAGAGAUCACUGGCCCGCAUUUGUGGCCCACAAGACAUCGAAAAAGAGUAAGAAGAUGUCAGCGACAAACAAGAUGAAUGCUGCGAAGAAGAAGCUUCACCAUCGCACGGGGUCAGGUGGCUACCUCAAAGCCCGGCCUAAGUGGGCCAAGUCUGAGAGGGAUCUGCUUGAUAAAGGGAUCGAACCACAGACAAUGAACUGGCCAGACCGUUGCCGGACUUGGUUCUUCGGGGCUGGCGGAACCUUGGACCCUGUAUCAGGGAGGUGUCGUUGGACGGACGAGCAACUUGCAAUACCCGUCAAGAAGAUUCAGCACUAUAUCGAUGCAGCGCAGCAAGGGACGUUCAUUCCAGACAGAGAGAACGACGAGCUCACAAUGGCCCUCGGGAAUCCUGAGCACCCUGGACGGACACGAGGCACGCCAGGCUCCGUUCCGUGGAAGGCUGGUUUUCCGGACGCGGGCAAUUACAAAACCCAGGAGAGGAGGAAAAAAGUGGAGCAGAUCCAAAUUCAGCGUCUGCACGAAAGGGUUCAAGUGCUAGAGGAACGAGACAGCAAUAGAGAUGCCGAAACUGCCCCCGAAGCUACACCGCCAUCUCAGCGUAGAAGCAGCGUGGCUUCCACCGAGCUGCCUCAGCUGGAGCAUGCGGCUACUCCUAGCUACCCCGUGGAUGCUAUCACGGAGUCUCAACAUUGCCACCUUAUGGCGGAAUGGCAGAACUUGAAAGUCAAGGCGGCUGUUGGCUCUGUUUUACCUACUGAACCCGGCGCAACCUACCACUGCCGGCCGAUUCCUGAAGGAUAUGCUAGGGUGAUGGUGGAUGAAAUAACGGAGGGAUUUGAGGACCUCCAGCUUGACCACCCUACCGGUGAAGGGGAGACUCGGCUGGGUUUAGCUCUGAAGACUCCAUGCCUAUGGCGGAAGGAGCUCAUCAAGCUUCCGAACUGGACGGCUCCGGCGAGUAAGGGCACUCCGCCUCCUCCUCCGCCUCCUCCUCCGGCGAGUGAUCAGGGCACUCAGCCUCCUUCUCCGGCGCGUGGCGGCACUCCGCCUCCUUCUCCGCCAGCGCCGGCGCGCCAGAGCAGCCAGCCUCCUCCUUCUCCGCCUCGUCAGCAAGGGCGGAAGAGACCUGCCGCCGCUGCGGCUGCUCCGGCGCGUCGUAGUCCUUCUCCUCCGCCUCGUAAGCAAGGAAAGAAGAUAGCCGCAGCCGCUCCGUCUGCUCUGCCGGCGACUAGCAGUACAGCUGCCAGAGGCGGGAGGCAAUACAGAUUCGGUCCUUCUCUGAAGACUCCAGAGAAGUUACCAUAUGAGAGGACCGAGGAGGAGAACGCGAAGAUCGUGCGAGCCGAAGUGAAGAACUUCUUUGAAGGGGUCAAAGCAAAGAAACAUCCACCUCCGGAGGAGAAGGUAGAUCCGGUGAAAGCAAAGCGCACUCUGGCUGCCCUGACAAAACCACCAAAGUCUCUGCCAAAAGGCAACUAUGAGCGCGUUCUUGCAAAGGCAUAUGCCGAAGUGGAGCGGUCGGGAAGUACUGUCAGUGAUAAAAGGAUGAAAGAACGACGAGCUGGGAAAAAAAUUGCCCAGCUCGGCGAACAAGAGAACCAAUCGUGCCCCCCGCUCAAGGUGUCAAAAGACAUCGUCGCUAAUGAUCCGGGUAUGGUGCCCGGUUAUACCGAUCUUGGAGAUUACCUGCCCGACGAUGUACAUUAUGAAAUCAUGGAGGUGGACGAACACAAAUACCAUUACGGGAAGCCUCUCGUCAAAGAUGUCAAAUCUCUAAGCACGAUGAUGCGAAGACUACAUGAUUGGUACAUGAAAACCUGCAGAGAGUCUGAUGGGAUGAGUACUUUAACGCUGAGAGUUAAACCGGAGCAUGACCUCGUUGGAAUUGAACUGCUGAAUGCUCCAUUUGAGGAUUUCUUCCAGUUUUAA
This 2436-nucleotide ribosomal RNA is filed under the name Triticum aestivum (bread wheat). RNAcentral's name for it is "partial small subunit ribosomal RNA". Lineage: Eukaryota; Viridiplantae; Streptophyta; Magnoliopsida; Poales; Poaceae. The record is from RNAcentral.